This 442-nucleotide ribosomal RNA is filed under the name uncultured bacterium. Its description in RNAcentral is "partial 16S ribosomal RNA". It matches the Rfam family "Bacterial small subunit ribosomal RNA", at positions 339 to 795 of the family's 1533-position model. The record is from RNAcentral.
CUACGGGAGGCAGCAGUGGGGAAUAUUGGGCAAUGGGCGCAAGCCUGACCCAGCAACGCCGCGUGAGGGAAGAAUGUCUUCGGAUUGUAAACCUCUGUCCUUGGGGACGAAAAAAAUGACGGUACCCAAGGAGGAAGCUCCGGCUAACUACGUGCCAGCAGCCGCGGUAAUACGUAGGGAGCGAGCGUUGUCCGGAAUUACUGGGCGUAAAGGGUGCGUAGGCGGCUAUGCAAGUCAGAUGUGAAAUACCCGGGCUUAACUCGGGGGGUGCAUUUGAAACUGCAUGGCUUGAGUGCAGGAGAGGAAAGCGGAAUUCCUAGUGUAGCGGUGAAAUGCGUAGAUAUUAGGAGGAACACCAGUGGCGAAGGCGGCUUUCUGGACUGCAACUGACGCUGAGGCACGAAAGCGUGGGGAGCAAACAGGAUUAGAUACCCCCGUAGUC